Molecule: ribosomal RNA, 253 nt
Filed under: uncultured bacterium
Lineage: Bacteria
Description: partial 16S ribosomal RNA
Rfam family: Bacterial small subunit ribosomal RNA
Source: RNAcentral
UACGUAGGGAGCAAGCGUUGUCCGGAAUCAUUGGGCGUAAAGUGUGCGCAGGCGGCCAUGCAAGUCGAGUGUGAAAGCCCCGGGCUUAACUUGGGAAUUGCGCUCGAAACUACGUGGCUGGAGUGUGGCAGAGGAAGGUGGAAUUCCACGUGUAGCGGUGAAAUGCGUAGAGAUGUGGAGGAACACCAAUGGCGAAGGCAGCCUUCUGGGCCAACACUGACGCUCAUGCACGAAAGCGUGGGGAGCAAACAGG